GGCACUAUGGCUCAGCAGGUUAAAGCCCCAGCCUGCAGUGCUGGCAUCCUAUAUUAGUGCCA
Molecule: transfer RNA, 62 nt
Filed under: Oryctolagus cuniculus (rabbit)
Lineage: Eukaryota; Metazoa; Chordata; Mammalia; Lagomorpha; Leporidae
Source: Rfam by way of RNAcentral